Gorilla gorilla gorilla (western lowland gorilla) is the source of this 2889-nucleotide long non-coding RNA. RefSeq lists it as uncharacterized. Lineage: Eukaryota; Metazoa; Chordata; Mammalia; Primates; Hominidae. The record is from RefSeq and is a predicted model, not a curated record. The transcript is spliced from 3 exons.
UAUUUAAAUAAAUUCUAGGUAUAGAAUUCUAAAUUGAUGAGGUUCUUUUCUUUCAAUUCAUAAAAAUAGUUGGUCCAUUGUUCUCUUGAUUAUUUCCCAUAAGGAAAUCUUAUACAUAAUGUGUCAUUUUUCUCUAGCUGGUUUUGAGCAAUUGAUUACUAUGUGCCUUGACAUAGUUUUCUUCAUGUUUCUUGUGCUUGGGGUGCAUUGAGCUGCAUGAAUCUGGAGUUUUCACCUGAUUUGAAAACAAAUUUAGACAUUUGAAUUUUUUAAUACCAAUUUUCCUCUCCUUUGGAAACUCCAAUGCAUUUAUAUGAGGCUGCGUGAUUUUGUUAUAUAGCUCUCUGGUAAGUAUAAAAUGUUAUUUUAUUUAUCUUUUGAAAUUUCAUUUAUUUAUAGACAACGUCUCACUCUGUCACCCAGGCUGAGUGCAGUGGUGCGAUCACAGCUCACUGCAGCUUCAACUUCCUGGGCUCAAGUGAUCCUCCCACCUCAGCCUCCCGAGUAGCUGGGACUACAGGCACAUACCACCACGCUUGGCUAAUUUUUUAUUUUUAGUAGUGUAGAGAUGGGGUCUUGCUAUGUCACCCAGGCUGGUUUUGAACUCCUGGACUCACACAAGCAAUGUGAUCCACCUCAGCCUCGCAGUGUUGGGAUUACAAGCGUGAGCCACCACAACUGGCCUAUUUAUCUUUUUCUUAGAGACAGGAUCUCCCUCUGUUGCUAGGCUGAAGUGCAGUGGCACAAUCAUAGCUCACUGUGGCCUCAAACACCUGGGCUUAAGUGAUCCUGCUGCCUCAGCCUCCCCGGUCGCUAGGACUACAGGAACGCACCAUCAUUCCUGGCUAAUUUUUUCUAAAAAAAAUUUGUUUCCUGGCUGGUCACUAACUCCUGGCCUGAAGUGAUUCUCUUGCCUCAGCCUCCCAGAGAGCUGGGAUUGUGGGCAUGAGCCAUCUUGCCUAGCCUAGUACAAAGUUUCUAAAAUUACUUUUUCUCUUUUUGUUCAUUGUGAAUAGUUUCUAAUGCUAUGACUUCAUCUUUACUAAUCUUUUCUUUUGCAAUGUCCAAUUAGCGAUUUUCAAUAUAAUCUUCAUUUUAGACAUUGUAGUAUUCCUCAUAACUUUUUUGGGAGGAUCUUUUUAAUGUCUUUUUUCUUUUUUUAAAUUUCAAGUUAUUUACCUGAUCAUGGAUCUUUUUUUAUAUCUUUGUUGUCUCUACCUACAUUUUGAACAUUUAAAAUAUACUUUAUAGUAAUUUUUAAUGUCCUCAUCUGCUAAUUCUAGUAUCUUUGUUGGUUCUGGCUUGGUGUCCCACCCUCCUCAUUAGUAGAUGUGUUUUUUGUGCUCUUUAUAUGCUUUAUAAUUUUAAUUGUAUGCUGGGCAUUCUGAAUUUUACCAAUAAAGUAAAAUUAUUAUACUAUUUGUAUUUCUAUAAAUAAUCAUGAGUUUUGUUCUGGGACACAGUUAAGUUACUUAUAAACAAUUGUGUCCCUUCCCUAACCCUGACCCUGACCCUGACCCUAACCCUAACCCUAACUCUAACAAUUGUGUCCCUUCCCUAACCCUAACAAACCUUAAAUGAGUAUUCAAGAGUCUUGCCUCACUAAUGGGGUGAAUUAACCCAAGACUAAAUACUUGUCAAAUGCCACCUAACAAACCUUAAAAGCAAGUCCUUAAAAGCAAGUCCCCUAACCCUAACCCUUACCCUAACCCUAACCCUAACCCUGCCACCAUGGCAGUAUGGUGAGACCCUGUCUCCAUUAUUUUAAAAAAUUGACAGGCUUUACCCGGGAAGGAUUAUACACAAUUUAAACACCCCUCAUAGUAUAAGAAAGUGCCCAUUUCACUGCACCUUUGCCAGCACAGGGUAUUAUAAUUUAGUAAGUCAUUUUUUGUUUGAUUAUUUUAAAUAGACAAAAGAUCUCAUAUUACUUUACUUGUCACAUUUCAACAUCUUUCCUUAGCUUAUUAGCUCUAUCUCUUUUCUGUCUGUAAAUGGUUGUUGUUGUUUUGUUCUUUGAGACAGGGUCUUGCUCUGUCACCAGGCUGGACUGUAGUGGCAUAAUCAUGCCUCGCUGCAGCCUUGACCUCCCAGGCUCAAACUUCAGCAUUCCGAGUAGCUGGGACUACAAGUGUGCACCACCACUCCCAGCUAACUUUUUUCUUUUUUUGGAUAGAGACAGGGUCUCACUGUGUCGUCCAGACCGGUCUCUAGCUCCUGGCCUUAAGCAAUCCUCCUGCAUUAGCUUCUCAAAUUGCUGGAAUUUCAGGCAUGAGCCACCAUGCCUGGCCUGGGCUAGUCCUGUAUUCUCUAGAGUUCUCUUUACUUUGUGCUAGCCAAUCUCUCAUUAUGCUGUUCACCUGUUAUAAUGAAUAAUUCUCUGUAUUAAAUGUUACCACUUUAAACUUUUGAGUGGUUUAUGCUUCCUGAUUGGACUCUGACUACUAUGUUAGGAAGGGUCCCAGGAGAUAAACCCACACAGAUGGGAUUUGGGCAUAGGUUUGGUUUCCCAGGGGGCAGUGCUGAGCUCUUUGCCAGUGGGAAAUGGGAUGCUGGCGAUUUCCAGGAAGUGACCUCACAAUGACUCAAGCUACCACUUACUGUUGAUUGUGACGAAAUGCCAGCUGAGGCACAUGCCUUGGGAGCUAAGUGGUUGCUGCCCUUGACCACUAUGAAGACUGGUGUGGGAAGGGUCGCUUUGCAUGCACUUGAGCAGGGGUCCCCAACCCCUCAGCCAUGGAGCUGUAGGGAGCCACACAGCAGGAGGUGGGACCAUCCAGUUUCAGGAAAACAAGCUUAACACGCCCACUGAUUCUACAUUAUGCUCCUACCUCCCGGCAGCCUCGCCAGGCCCAGAACUCUCUCCAGUCAGCCUCUACAGACCAAGCU